GAGAGGAUAAAAGCACUUCCGGUUUCGCCAAAGAGAGCAAAUAGUUUGGACGAGUUCUGAGAAAACGCCAUUAAUGUAAUAACUGUGCAAACGAAGUGUUUCCAAAAUACCAAAACUCUGCGCUGUUUUACUCCAUGUGCUGUUUCUGUUCUCACUUAAAGGCACGACUACAGGAGACGACACAAUCAGAGAGAUCCUCAGCCAUCUCGAAGAUCUCACUCGCUACUCCAAUCUCUUCACCAUUGACACAAGUCUAAUAUAUCUGACACACAUGCAGAUGGGGAGCACCUAUUUUUGCAGCUGUAAAGAAUUAAUCAGCAAUGAACUUUUGAAAACACUUGCUUUGGCAAAGAUUACCGAUGGAGACAUGGCACAAGAGUUGUAUACAAUCUUCCGAAUGCUGCAGUACAAUAUUAAAGCACUGCUGCAGCAGUCAGGGGAAGGAACAAUGGUUGGUUUAAGGUGCCCAAGAGACAAAACUGAGUUCCUCGUAAAGACUGAGCAGAAAGCUUCACAUCUGAACUUUGUCAAGCAGAGCAUCAGAUUUUUUCAACGCUGGCUGAAUAGAUGCCUAAUCAGUUCUAAGUAUUGAUUAACACUGUGGUGUUCUGACCAUUACUACAAUAAAGUUGUAGCGUGUUUCAAAAUAAAAUGUGGAAGAAUUCCUUUUAAAAAAUAAGAAAUUAUUUCUAUUAAAGUGAUAUAUCAAAUA
Tachysurus fulvidraco (yellow catfish) is the source of this 712-nucleotide long non-coding RNA. RefSeq lists it as uncharacterized. The transcript is spliced from 5 exons. The record is from RefSeq and is a predicted model, not a curated record. NCBI's taxonomy places the organism in Eukaryota, Metazoa, Chordata, Actinopteri, Siluriformes, Bagridae.